This 202-nucleotide ribosomal RNA is filed under the name uncultured prokaryote. Its description in RNAcentral is "partial 16S ribosomal RNA". It matches the Rfam family "Bacterial small subunit ribosomal RNA", at positions 524 to 725 of the family's 1533-position model. The record is from RNAcentral.
UACGAAGGGGGCUAGCGUUGUUCGGAUUUACUGGGCGUAAAGCGCACGUAGGCGGACUCUUAAGUCGGUGGUGAAAUCCUGGAGCUCAACUCCAGAACUGCCUUCGAUACUGGGAGUCUCGAGUUCGGGAGAGGUGAGUGGAACUGCGAGUGUAGAGGUGAAAUUCGUAGAUAUUCGCAAGAACACCAGUGGCGAAGGCGGC